UCUCACACAAAUCCAUUCAGAUGUGAACCUUCUCGUUCCAGACCCAAUUCUGCUGACAAACAGUCAUGAUGGACUGGAUGGGCCCAGUAUGAAAAAGCGAAAGUUGGAAGACUGUGAAGAGUCCUUCCAAGGUACCAAAGUCUUUGUCAUGCCUAAUGGGAUGAUGAAGAGCAACCAGCAGCUGGUGAACAUCAUUGAGAAAGUAAAACCAGAGAUUCGGCUGCUGAUUGAGAAAUGCAAUACAGU
Molecule: non-coding RNA, 246 nt
Organism: Thamnophis sirtalis
Lineage: Eukaryota; Metazoa; Chordata; Lepidosauria; Squamata; Natricidae
Source: RefSeq, a predicted model, not a curated record